AAAGAACGCCAGGCAGAGGUAUUCAACACAAAAUAAAUCUUUAUUAUAAUCAAUUAACGCAAUAAUCAUAUAAAUAGUAACAACAGAAAGAGACAACACCGCUGCUUUAAUGAUAACUCAAACAGAUCAACACAAAGAGAAUGGUGACCACUUCAACAAAGAAAACAACUAUAAGGCUUCAACAGAAAAAGACAGCAACGCUGCUAUUAACGAUAACCAGGCAGGCCAAACAAAGUAAUGGAGGCCGCCGUCACCUAAGCAAAACCACUACUCGGUUAAGAGCUACUCACAAAGAGCCACGCACGGUGGGGCUGGUCACACAUACACAGCAGUAGUGAUGGGACGUUCUGUAUCGAGGCUUCGAAGCUUGUGUCGAGUAAUGGAGGGGGCGUUUCCGCGAUGCGCGUAUCGAGGCUUGCUUCGUUUAUGGGAGGAGCUGAAAAUGAUGAUGUCCGAAGCCUCGCUGCCCGCUGUACCACGUGACUGGUUCAGGAAGUGGUUCGAACUGUGGAGCUCCACAGUAACCGGAUACACGUGACCUCCACAGUAGCCGGAAGCACGUGACCUCCACAGUAGCCAUAAACACGCAUGGAUACCGUGGAAGUCUUGCAAGUUGAUCGCAAAGAUGCACAUAUCAAUCUGGAAUUCGGGCUUAAAGCCAGAAUUGCAGGAAUGCAACACGUGUUGCAGAGGACUUUCACUGCCCUCUGUGCCCCACUUUCAGCCCUACCGUCAGGGCAAAGAUUGAGGAGCAUCUAAGUGUGCAUAUAAAAAAUGCUUUGCAUUUCAAUGAUAAAAUGAUAUGCCGGUGCAGGCUGCCUUGUAGGACAACAGGACACUUUCACUGCCCUGUCUGUAAGAUUACAAUCAUACGGCGUGGGGAUAUGGCAAGGCAUUUAUUGUCUUGUCAGCAUUCUUCAAUGCCAAGUCAGCCACCAUUAUCAGGACUGCUCCCCGCUGAACUCUCCGAGGAGACCCCUAUUCUUCCGGCAGUACUCUUUGAGGAGCCCCAUCUCCCCCCCAAGGUUUUGUCUUCGGUAUCUGAACCAUUUUCUGAAUCUUUGUUAGAACAUUCCUAUGCUCUACCCUCUGUGUUCAAUAAAACUGCAGCUGAUGGAAAGUCCAUGAAAAUGACAUGCCCUCACUGUGGCCUUACUCUUCGUACCAAAAACUACAAGGCUCACAUGAUGAGGAAGCACUCCAACCGAUCAAUAGAUGUUUCCCUGGCCAGUCAUCUGCAGUGUGUUUGUGUAGAUGAAACUACAGGGUUAUUUGCUGUGCAGAGAACUGGCCAUGGGUUUUCUGUGCCAGUUCACGUUCAGAGGAAAACAUGGGGGAUGUCUCACAAUAUCAGAUGUGAGCUGGAGGAAUGUCAGCAAUACCAGUUGCUGGCCCAGCGGAGCGGACUAGGCUUCAGUUUAUGUGAGCACCUUCGCUCACUAGAUUACUGCCGAGAAACUGUAAAGGAGGUUUUUCUUCAAGAGCACAUCGUGAUGGAAAUGGUGGACCUUA
Molecule: long non-coding RNA, 1512 nt
Organism: Oreochromis aureus
Lineage: Eukaryota; Metazoa; Chordata; Actinopteri; Cichliformes; Cichlidae
Exons: 3
Source: RefSeq, a predicted model, not a curated record